This 64-nucleotide transfer RNA is filed under the name Chaetopterus variopedatus. RNAcentral's name for it is "tRNA-Leu". Lineage: Eukaryota; Metazoa; Annelida; Polychaeta; Chaetopteridae. The record is from RNAcentral.
AUUAAGUUGGCAGAGAAUGUAGUUGAUUUAGGAUCAACCCACACGAAUAUUUUCGUACUUAAUA